Non-coding RNA from Manis javanica (Malayan pangolin), 714 nucleotides. NCBI's taxonomy places the organism in Eukaryota, Metazoa, Chordata, Mammalia, Pholidota, Manidae. The record is from RefSeq and is a predicted model, not a curated record.
GGAAGACAAAGGGCAUCCAGGGAGAGGGGCAGGGGCGCUGGGAGUCAGAACGCCUAAGGCAGGGAACAAAGAACCCAAGCGCCGACUGGGGAUUCCGGGCUGCACACAAGGAAGCCUCAUUGGAGAAAAGGGGGCGGCGAGGUGGAGGCGGGUGACCCACCACCCACGGCCCACGGUGACUGGGCACGGCCUGAGCAGGCCGACUCGGAGGAGGCGCGGGGCGAGGCUGCGGGCGGAGCGCGGGAAAGCAAAUGAAAUCAAGGAGAGGUACCUAUACACAAAAGAAAAGAAAUAAGCCCCAAUGGAAAAUCCAACAGCUAUAAAAAUGACAGAAUGGAAUUCUGGAAUACCCAGACAAGACGCUGAGAAUUACUAGAAAAUUCAUUAACUCCAAGAUCGAGUUCCUCAAGAAUCAAAUGUAAGGGAACAGUUCUAAUGUAUACCGUCAGUUGCCUGUGAUAAGAUGCAGCUUCUUUUAAAUGAAAUAUGUUUUCUAUUUUAAUGUUUUUAUAUGCAUUUCUAUCAUGCUCAUCACUGUUACCUCUACAUAGGAGUUGGCCUGUAUUUCAAAGAGACACAGAGAAACUGUGCUGUAAGGACUACCUCCAAUUGCAUUUACAAGAGAAAAGGAGUCCCAGAGAGGUUCAAGUCACUGGGGGAUGGCUGGCAAGGCCAGGAAUUAAAGUCUAAAUCUCCCAACAAGGAUCUUCCCAA